UGGAAAGACCAGUUGGAGAAGGACUAACGGAAGGUUUGCUAACGCCAUUUAUACCCCGAACAGGGCAAUUUAAGUUUGUCACGAAGUUUGUAACACCCAGAAGGAAGCGUCGGAGACCCUAUAAAGUAUAUACAUAUAUAAAUGAUCAGUAUGUUGAGCUGAGUCGAUUUAGCCAUGUCCGUCUGUCUGUAUAUAUACGAACUAGUCCCUCAGUUUUUAAGAUAUCGUUUUGAAAUUUUGCAAACGUCAUUUUCUCUUCAAGAAGCUGCUCAUUUGUCGGAACUGCCGAUAUCGGACCACUAUAACAUAUAGCUGCCAUACAAACUGAACGAUCGGAAUCAAGUUCUUGUAUGGAAAACUUUCACAUUUGACAAUAUAUAUUCACGAAAUUUGGUAUAGAUUAUUUUCUAAGACAACAAUGUAAUCUCCGAAGAAAUUGUUCAGAUCGGUUAACUAUAGCAUAUAGCUGCCAUACAAACCGAACGAUCGGAAUCAAGGGCUUGUAUGGAAAACUUUUGCAUUUGACGUGGUAUCUUCACGAAAUUUGACAUGGAUUACUGCUUAAGGUAAUAAUA
Long non-coding RNA from Bactrocera dorsalis (oriental fruit fly), 575 nucleotides. RefSeq lists it as uncharacterized. The transcript is spliced from 2 exons. The record is from RefSeq and is a predicted model, not a curated record. Lineage: Eukaryota; Metazoa; Arthropoda; Insecta; Diptera; Tephritidae.